Pelobates cultripes (western spadefoot toad) is the source of this 241-nucleotide non-coding RNA. Lineage: Eukaryota; Metazoa; Chordata; Amphibia; Anura; Pelobatidae. The record is from the annotation of a GenBank genome assembly.
AAUCACUCAGUCUCUGUGACUCUGUCCUCUCGUGGUUUUCCUCAUCUCUCCCAAUGCUCAUUCAGUGUCUCCUUUUCUAAGGAUAAACCCUCCCCUCGUCCUGUCUCGGUUGGAGUCCUCCAAAGCUCUGUCCUUGCUCCCCUUCUAUUUUCUCUUUAUACUGCCUCUCUUGGCAAACUAAUUGCCUCUUUUGGAUUCCACUACCACCUGUACGCCGAUGACACCCAGAUAUAUCUCUCCU